Long non-coding RNA from Lycium ferocissimum, 262 nucleotides. RefSeq lists it as uncharacterized. NCBI's taxonomy places the organism in Eukaryota, Viridiplantae, Streptophyta, Magnoliopsida, Solanales, Solanaceae. The record is from RefSeq and is a predicted model, not a curated record. The transcript is spliced from 2 exons.
UAGAUCUGUCUCUGGCGAUUUGGUGACAUCUGGCCCCAAGUAGGUGAGUCUUUAAAUAGUUUUUCUAUCUCAUCCGUAAGGAGUCUUGAAGCUUUGUCUGGAAACUCAUACCCGUAUCCUGCAAGCUCGAUGAUGACUCGCCCUGAUGAAUCACAAGAUUCCAGUUGUGAAGCACUUACACCUCCACGUAAGUCAUUCGCGGUAGGAGUGUGAGGCGCAGAUCUACUUUCUCGAAGAUCAGGACCCGUAAUAUUGUACUGUU